RNAcentral lists this ribosomal RNA (497 nucleotides) under uncultured bacterium. Its description in RNAcentral is "partial 16S ribosomal RNA". It matches the Rfam family "Bacterial small subunit ribosomal RNA", at positions 28 to 507 of the family's 1533-position model. The record is from RNAcentral.
GAUGAACGCUGGCGGCGUGCCUAAUACAUGCAAGUAGAACGCUGAAGCUUGGUGCUUGCACCGAGCGGAUGAGUUGCGAACGGGUGAGUAACGCGUAGGUAACCUGCCUCUUAGCGGGGGAUAACUAUUGGAAACGAUAGCUAAUACCGCAUAAAAGUCGAUAUCGCAUGAUAUUGAUUUGAAAGGUGCAAAUGCAUCACUAAGAGAUGGACCUGCGUUGUAUUAGCUAGUUGGUGAGGUAACGGCUCACCAAGGCGACGAUACAUAGCCGACCUGAGAGGGUGAUCGGCCACACUGGGACUGAGACACGGCCCAGGCUCCUACGGGAGGCAGCAGUAGGGAAUCUUCGGCAAUGGGGGCAACCCUGACCGAGCAACGCCGCGUGAGUGAAGAAGGUUGUCGGAUCGUAAAGCUCUGUUGUAAGAGAAGAACGAGUGUGAGAGUGGAAAGUUCACACUGUGACGGUAACUUACCAGAAAGGGACGGCUAACUACGUG